GAUGAACGCUAGCGGCAGGCUUAAUACAUGCAAGUCGAGGGGCAUCAAGGUACACGAAAGUGUAUUGUUGGCGACCGGCGGACGGGUGAGUAAUAGGUAGGUAACCUACCUCAUACUGAGGCAUAGCUGGGAGAAAUUCCAGGUAAUUCCUCAUGAGGUUAUAUGACACAUGUGAUAUAAUCAAAGGUAUCGCAAGGUACUGGUAUGAGAUGGGCUUACUGACCAUUAGCUAGUUGGUGAGAUAAGAGCUCACCAAGGCGAAGAUGGUUAGGGGUUUUGAGAGAGAGAUCCCCCACAUUGGAACUGAGAUACGGUCCAGACUCCUACGGGAGCAGCAGUAGGGAAUAUUGGGCAAUGGGCGGAAGCCUGACCCAGCCAUGCCGCGUGAAGGAAGACGGCCUUAUGGGUUGUAAACUUCUUUACUAUGCGACUAACUAGAUUUACGAGAUAAUUCUAUAGAAUGUAGCAUAGCAAAAAGCACCGGA
Molecule: ribosomal RNA, 485 nt
Filed under: uncultured bacterium
Lineage: Bacteria
Description: bacterial SSU rRNA
Rfam family: Bacterial small subunit ribosomal RNA
Source: RNAcentral